RNAcentral lists this ribosomal RNA (371 nucleotides) under uncultured bacterium. RNAcentral describes it as "bacterial SSU rRNA". It matches the Rfam family "Bacterial small subunit ribosomal RNA", at positions 527 to 896 of the family's 1533-position model. The record is from RNAcentral.
GGAGGGUGCGAGSGUUGUCCGGAAUCACUGGGCGUAAAGGGCGCGUAGGCGGUCUGCUAAGCGUGCGGUGAAAGCCUGGGGCUCAACCCCAGGUCUGCCGUGCGAACUGGUGGACUAGAGCACUGUAGAGGCAGGUGGAAUUCCGGGUGUAGCGGUGGAAUGCGUAGAGAUCCGGAAGAACACCGGUGGCGAAGGCGGCCUGCUGGGCAGUUGCUGACGCUGAUGCGCGACAGCGUGGGGAGCAAACAGGAUUAGAUACCCUGGUAGUCCACGCCGUAAACGAUGGGCACUAGGUGCUUGGGGGAGCGACCCCCCGAGUGCCGGCGCUAACGCAUUAAGUGCCCCGCCUGGGGAGUACGACCGCAAGGUUG